Molecule: ribosomal RNA, 397 nt
Filed under: uncultured bacterium
Lineage: Bacteria
Description: partial 16S ribosomal RNA
Rfam family: Bacterial small subunit ribosomal RNA
Source: RNAcentral
AUACGUAGGGGGCGAGCGUUGUCCGGAAUGAUUGGGCGUAAAGGGCGCGUAGGCGGCCCGGUAAGUCUGGAGUGAAAGUCCUGUUUUUAAGAUGGGAAUUGCUUUGGAUACUGUCGGGCUUGAGUGCAGGAGAGGUAAGUGGAAUUCCCAGUGUAGCGGUGAAAUGCGUAGAGAUUGGGAGGAACACCAGUGGCGAAGGCGACUUACUGGACUGUAACUGACGCUGAGGCGCGAAAGUGUGGGGAGCAAACAGGAUUAGAUACCCUGGUAGUCCACACUGUAAACGAUGAAUGCUAGGUGUAGGGGGUAUCGACCCCUUCUGUGCCGCAGUCAACACAAUAAGCAUUCCGCCUGGGGAGUUCGGCCGCAAGGUUGAAACUCAAAGGAAUUGACGGGG